Molecule: ribosomal RNA, 301 nt
Filed under: uncultured bacterium
Lineage: Bacteria
Description: partial 16S ribosomal RNA
Rfam family: Bacterial small subunit ribosomal RNA
Source: RNAcentral
CAGUCGCCGCGGGAAAACGGAGGGAGCUAGCGUUGUUCGGAAUUACUGGGCGUAAAGCGCACGUAGGCGGCUUUGUAAGUUAGAGGUGAAAGCCUGGAGCUCAACUCCAGAAUUGCCUUUGAUACUGCAUGGCUUGAAUCCAGGAGAGGUGAGUGGAAUUCCGAGUGUAGAGGUGAAAUUCGUAGAUAUUCGGAAGAACACCAGUGGCGAAGGCGGCUCACUGGACUGGUAUUGACGCUGAGGUGCGAAAGCGUGGGGAGCAAACAGGAUUAGAUACCCGAGUAGUCCCUGUCUCUUAUAC